UGUCUCUUGUCCCUCUGCAUUUAACCGAGAAAAUCUUUCGCCUUUUACUAAAGAUUUCCGUGCAGAGGGGCAUUUUGAGCUUACAUGCAAUUUUUGGAAGCCCACUCAAGUGGGCU
Molecule: non-coding RNA, 116 nt
Organism: Gongylonema pulchrum
Lineage: Eukaryota; Metazoa; Nematoda; Chromadorea; Rhabditida; Gongylonematidae
Source: Rfam